Molecule: ribosomal RNA, 375 nt
Filed under: uncultured Sphingobacteriales bacterium
Lineage: Bacteria; Pseudomonadati; Bacteroidota; Sphingobacteriia; Sphingobacteriales
Description: bacterial SSU rRNA
Rfam family: Bacterial small subunit ribosomal RNA
Source: RNAcentral
UUACAUCUCUUCGGAGCAUUUUACGUAGGUGCUGCAUGGUUGUCGUCAGCUCGUGCCGUGAGGUGUCGGUUAAGUCCCAUAACGAGCGCAACCCUACCUUUACGUUGCCAUCAGGUAAUGCUGGGGACGUCUAAAGGAACUGCCUACGCAAGUAGUGAGGAAGGCGGGGAGUGACGUCAAAUCAGCACGGCCCUUACGUCCAGGGCUGCACACGUGCUACAAUGGCCGAUACAGAGGGCAGCUACCUGGUGACAGGAUGCAAAUCUCCAAAAGUCGGUCUCAGUUCGGAUCGGAGUCUGCAACCCGACUCCGUGAAGUUGGAUUCGCUAGUAAUCGCGCAUCAGCCAUGGCGCGGUGAAUACGUUCCCGGGCCUU